Molecule: long non-coding RNA, 202 nt
Filed under: Lupinus angustifolius (narrow-leaved blue lupine)
Lineage: Eukaryota; Viridiplantae; Streptophyta; Magnoliopsida; Fabales; Fabaceae
Description: long non-coding RNA (LANG_LNC002109)
Source: RNAcentral
ACCUUCAUCACCUAACCAAAAUAUCACUCUAGAUUUUCAUCAAGUCAAACCCACUGAUAAAAAAACAAACUCAUUCAUAAUAGAGCAUCAAAUAUAAGAAGACCCCAAACCACAUCAUAGCUAAACACCCUCACUGCCAUUCCCACAAUUGUAACAAAGCUGUCACUAUUGUGGUUCUCUAAACAUGUCAUCUUUGUCAACC